Molecule: transfer RNA, 70 nt
Filed under: Novosphingobium capsulatum
Lineage: Bacteria; Pseudomonadati; Pseudomonadota; Alphaproteobacteria; Sphingomonadales; Sphingomonadaceae
Also listed under: 51 other names
Rfam family: tRNA
About the family: Transfer RNA (tRNA) molecules are approximately 80 nucleotides in length.
Source: RNAcentral
CGGGUGUAGCUCAGUUGGUUAGAGUGCCGGCCUGUCACGCCGGAGGUCGCGGGUUCGAGCCCCGUCACUC